This 62-nucleotide transfer RNA is filed under the name Cyphoderus albinus. RNAcentral's name for it is "tRNA-Leu". The record is from RNAcentral. Lineage: Eukaryota; Metazoa; Arthropoda; Collembola; Entomobryomorpha; Paronellidae.
ACUAGAUUGGCAGAAUAGUGCCAUUGAUUUAGAAUCUUUAUAUAAAUUACAUUUAUUUAGUA